CUGCUCCGACCUGUGGUGCUUGCAGUCACCGUCUGGGGAGGGACUGCAAAACCACACAGACAGUACGACAGACGGUGCACCAUGAGGAGAAGGUCUGGCUUCCAUGAACAUGUGCCACAGCGGGAGCAAAGUAAAUGAGAUUGGAGGGGGCCAGGAGGAAAUGACAUUGAAGCUCAGAGGAAGAGAAUUUAACCAGGACUGGACUGUCUUCCGGGGGCGAUCAGAGCAAAGGCGCUAAGAUGACAGGAGCCACUAUGCGUCUGAAGAAGCCAGGUGGGUGCUGAC
This 285-nucleotide long non-coding RNA is filed under the name Homo sapiens (human). Its description in RNAcentral is "non-protein coding lnc-CECR2-8:1". Lineage: Eukaryota; Metazoa; Chordata; Mammalia; Primates; Hominidae. The record is from RNAcentral.